Molecule: small nuclear RNA, 191 nt
Filed under: Pseudozyma flocculosa
Lineage: Eukaryota; Fungi; Basidiomycota; Ustilaginomycetes; Ustilaginales; Ustilaginaceae
Also listed under: 1 other name
Description: U2 spliceosomal RNA
Rfam family: U2 spliceosomal RNA
About the family: U2 is a small nuclear RNA (snRNA) component of the spliceosome (involved in pre-mRNA splicing). Complementary binding between U2 snRNA (in an area lying towards the 5' end but 3' to hairpin I) and the branchpoint sequence (BPS) of the intron results the bulging out of an unpaired adenosine, on the BPS, which initiates a nucleophilic attack at the intronic 5' splice site, thus starting the first of two transesterification reactions that mediate splicing.
Source: Rfam by way of RNAcentral
CCCUCUUCGCACAUCCACAGUGAUCAUGUGUAGUAUCUGUUCUUCAUAGUUUGAUGACUAUGACCAAGGGCUCGCGCCCUUCGUUUCAUCAACCACUUUUUAUCUACCGGGUCGUUUGAUACGAGCUUGCUCGUAUCGACGACCGAGCGUGUCCUCGUCAUUACACCAUCGACGAGAGACGCGCGCGGGCC